GACGAACGCUGGCGGCGUGCUUAACACAUGCAAGUCGAACGGAAAGGCCCCUUUGGGGGUCCUCGAGUGGCGAACGGGUGAGUAACACGUGAGUAACCUGCCCUUGACUUCGGGAUAACUUCAGGAAACUGGGGCUAAUACCGGAUAGGAAUCCUUGCUGCAUGGUGGGGGUUGGAAAGCUUCGGCGGUUUUGGAUGGACUCGCGGCUUAUCAGCUUGUUGGUGGGGUAGUGGCUUACCAAGGCUUUGACGGGUAGCCGGCCUGAGAGGGCGACCGGCCACAUUGGGACUGAGAUACGGCCCAGACUCCUACGGGAGGCAGCAGUGGGGAAUAUUGCACAAGGGGCGGAAGCCUGAUGCAGCAACGCCGCGUGCGGGAUGACGGCCUUCGGGUUGGAAACCGCUUUCAGCAGGGGCGAAGCUUGUGGUGACGGUACCUGCAGAAGAAGCACCGGCUAACUACGUG
Molecule: ribosomal RNA, 465 nt
Filed under: uncultured bacterium
Lineage: Bacteria
Description: partial 16S ribosomal RNA
Rfam family: Bacterial small subunit ribosomal RNA
Source: RNAcentral